UACAGAGGGUGCGAGCGUUAAUCGGAGUGACUGGGCGUAAAGGGCAUGUAGGCGGUUAUAUUAGUCAGAUGUAAAAUACCCGAGCUUAACUUGGGAUAUGCAUAUGAAACGGUAUAGCUAGAGUAUGGGAGAGGGAAGUGGAAUUUCCGGUGUAGCGGUGAAAUGCGUAGAGAUCGGAAAGAACACUCGUGGCGAAGGCGGCUUUCUGGCCCAUAACUGACGCUGAGGUGCGAAAGCAUGGGGAGCAAAC
Molecule: ribosomal RNA, 250 nt
Filed under: uncultured bacterium
Lineage: Bacteria
Description: partial 16S ribosomal RNA
Rfam family: Bacterial small subunit ribosomal RNA
Source: RNAcentral